This 418-nucleotide long non-coding RNA is filed under the name Ricinus communis (castor bean). Its description in RNAcentral is "long non-coding RNA (RCOM_LNC000317)". The record is from RNAcentral. Lineage: Eukaryota; Viridiplantae; Streptophyta; Magnoliopsida; Malpighiales; Euphorbiaceae.
UUGAUUCCAAUUAAUGUCGAAAGGCAACUCUUACUCUUACUUUUAGGAUUCUAAUUCCUAGAUUUCUGAUUAUUUAAAAUAUGAAUCCUACCAUGUACCGAAACAAUAAAAUCAAUCAAAAGGAAUUCUAUAAAAAAACUUUAUAAAAAAACUUUUUCAGAUUUCAACGAAAAGGAUUAGUAAACCCUGCCGAUUUUGAACCUUUGAAUCAUAAUAUGAAAUGAGUCAAAUCAAUAAGGUAUAGCACAAAUCCAAUUUCUCUAAAAUAAUAAAACAAAUACUAAACUAAGCACUAAGCAAGAAAAUAUCUUAGUAUGUGUAGUAUCUCAUUGGAGAACCACUAUGUCUAUCUUAUUUCCCAUAAAAAAUUCACUUAAUUUAAUCACUUUUAAUAACUAAUAAAAGAACUGCUUUCGUU